AUUGAACGCUGGCGGCAGGCCUAACACAUGCAAGUCGAGCGGAUGAAGGGAGCUUGCUCCUGGAUUCAGCGGCGGACGGGUGAGUAAUGCCUAGGAAUCUGCCUGGUAGUGGGGGAUAACGUCCGGCAACGGGCGCUAAUACCGCAUACGUCCUGAGGGAGAAAGUGGGGGAUCUUCGGACCUCACGCUAUCAGAUGAGCCUAGGUCGGAUUAGCUAGUUGGUGGGGUAAAGGCCUACCAAGGCGACGAUCCGUAACUGGUCUGAGAGGAUGAUCAGUCACACUGGAACUGAGACACGGUCCAGACUCCUACGGGAGGCAGCAGUGGGGAAUAUUGGACAAAGGGCGAAAGCCUGAUCCAGCCAUGCCGCGUGUGUGAAGAAGGUCUUCGGAUUGUAAAGCACUUUAAGUUGGGAGGAAGGGCAGUAAGUUAAUACCUUGCUGUUUUGACGUUACCAACAGAAUAAGCACCGGCUAACUUCGUG
Molecule: ribosomal RNA, 484 nt
Filed under: uncultured bacterium
Lineage: Bacteria
Description: partial 16S ribosomal RNA
Rfam family: Bacterial small subunit ribosomal RNA
Source: RNAcentral